RNAcentral lists this long non-coding RNA (825 nucleotides) under Mus caroli (Ryukyu mouse). RNAcentral's name for it is "RIKEN cDNA 2700046A07 gene (MGP_CAROLIEiJ_G0005267.1)". The record is from RNAcentral. Lineage: Eukaryota; Metazoa; Chordata; Mammalia; Rodentia; Muridae.
UCCAUUGUCUUGGAGCAGGGCCACCCUCACACAGGAAGCUGUGUGUAUCACUGCUCACUGCAGGCAGAAACGCUGCAAAGGCCUUCCUAUGACUGAUAAACGGUGUUUGGUUUGGAUCGGGAGGAAAAAUAAGGCGCUCGGGAUAACAGGGGGCCGGUGGGAAAACAUUUGGAACUCCAGAAUGAGAGCAAAAGAAGAGACCGCUUUGAAGGUUCCAUGAGGUGGUUAACUAACAAGGAACAAUGAGGGCAGCCCAGGCAGGGGCUUCCUUCCACCCAGCUGCAGUCAAAGCCACCGGUGGCCAGGGAGCUGGCAGGAACCCUGUUAUGGCUGGGGAGAACAAACAGGCUUGGUCAAGGAAGCCAAGCCCCCUUCAAAGAACUACGCCCCAACCCCCACGGCUUCAGGAGCGUUUGCUGACAAGGUCUAGGCUCACAGAAGACAAGGAGGCUGGAUUUUCUGUGACGAGUGGAGACAAAAUCUGAACAGCUUGGUGAGAGAAGGGAUGGUGAUUGAAGGUAUAAGAAAAGGACUGUGUCAGUUUGGGUCCCUGAUCCAGGGACCAGGGCUGCCAGAUCCUGCAGUUGGGAAGUUGUCUGGCUGUACCAGCACCUUGUGUACCCACCGGGCCCCUGGGGCUGUAGUAGGCAGCUGUUGGCAUUAACUGAAUUAUCUGCAGAGGAUAUAAUCAGAGAUCCUUCUCUCAUAUCCAGAGAAUGCCUAAAACCACAGAUGGUAUUGAAUUGUAUUAAAAUUGUGUGUUUCCUGUACACAUAUACUUAUGCUAAAGUUUCACCAUAGUAAUAAAGUGCUCAAUCAAAGCAA